Molecule: ribosomal RNA, 708 nt
Filed under: Nematocera environmental sample
Lineage: Eukaryota; Metazoa; Arthropoda; Insecta; Diptera
Description: LSU rRNA
Rfam family: Eukaryotic large subunit ribosomal RNA
Source: RNAcentral
GACCCGUCUUGAAACACGGACCAAGGAGUCUAUCUAGUAUGCGAGUAAAUGGAUAAUUUAUGAAAUCUAUUUGCAUAAGAAACUUGACUGUUGGGGGAUUACGAGAUAUAAGUUAAUGAUUUAUAUCUAUUCCAUCCCGGGGUAUUUUCAUCAACAUAUGCUUGCAUAUGGAAAAUAUACCAUGAGCAGACUGGAUACGACCCGAAAGAUGGUGAACUAUGCCUGAUCAGGUCGAAGUCAGGGGAAACCCUGAUGGAGGACCGAAGCAGUUCUGACGUGCAAAUCGAUUGUCAGAAUUGGGCAUAGGGGCGAAAGACCAAUCGAACCAUCUAGUAGCUGGUUCCUUCCGAAGUUUCCCUCAGGAUAGCUGGUGCAUAGAGUAAUUGUAUUGCUAACUCAUACCUGGUAAAGCGAAUGAUUAAAGGCCUAAGGAACGAAAUGUUCUUAACCUAUUCUCAACCUUUAAAUGGGUAUGUAAGUUAACAUACUUGAUUGAUGUUAACCAUUAGACAAUAGUAAUAUUGUCACGUAAGAUUGUAUGCUCCAAGUGGGCCAAGUUUUGGUAAGCAGAACUGGUGCUGCGGGAUGAACCGAACGCAUUGUUAAGGCGCCCAAAUAAACGACGCAUCAUCGAUACCAUGAAAGGUGUUGAUUGCUAAAGACAGCAGGACGGUGGACAUGGAAGUUGUCAUCCGCUAAGGAGUGUGU